UGCAGCUUCCUCACAAUCUGAGAGCGAGAGAGAGAGAGUGAGGGGGGAGAGAGCGAGAGAGAAAGUGAGGGGGGAGAGAAAGAGAACAGGUCAGGGGUUAGUGGUUAGGGGUUAGUGGUUAGGGGUGGAAGCAGGGCCGGCCCUGGGCAUAGGCGACAUAAGCGGUUGCUUAGGGCCCCUGGCCGCUACGGCCCCCAACCCCCAAAAAUACUUUAGGAACUCAGUCGGGGUCUAAACUUACUGUUGAGAGUUGUAAUAGUAGAACACGCAAGAGCUGUUGCUAGAACGUGCAAAAUUCUGACCGGAUUACGUAACGAACCAAAGCGUCCGUUGCUAUGCUGGUUGUUUGUUCUCUAUUUUACCUCGUAACGGUCGCGUCAUAUUAGGGUGUCUAGCUAUAAGUUAAACCUGAUCAAUCAAAUGGAUAGGUGUAAGCAAUUAUGGUUAUUCCAAAUGCCCUUAACUAGGUGUCUUCGCUAGACAGACACAGAGAGGGGGAGGAGGAAAGUGAGAAGAGAGAGGUGGGAAAAGAAUAGAAGACAGACAGAGAGACAGACGAAGAGAAACAGCGAGAAAAACAGCAGUGUAAAUGUACUUAGACUAGAGUAUUUCAACACCUCUUCUCUUCCAACUUGUUAAGCAAUCAUAACCAUAUCUAUGGCCAGCCGCACAGGAGGAUGGCCAGCCACACAGGAGGGUGAUCUUUACCAAGGAGGAGGAGGCGGCCGUGCUGACCAAGAUGCAUGCUGGGCAUUUCGGAGUGAAGCGCAUGAUUGCCAAAAUCAACCUACGCUUCUUCUGACAGGGAAUUGUCAAGGAGGUGUGAAAUAACCUUUUGUCUAUCAAUCACAUUCUAUUAUAUCAGAAAUGAUUAUGAUUUCAAUGAAUGUCAUAUCAGAGAGCACACAAUGUUUCAAUUUGUCACUUUGUGCUUAAAGGUCAGUACCCCGUCUAGUCAGGUCAGUACCCCGUCUAGUCAGGUCAGUACCCCGUCUAGUCAGGUCAGUACCCCGUCUAGUCAGGUCAGUACCCCGUCUAGUCAGGUCAGUACCCCGUCUAGUCAGGUCAGUACCCCGUCUAGUCAGGUCAGUACCCCGUCUAGUCAGGUCAGUACCCCGUCUAGUCAGGUCAGUACCCCGUCUAGUCAGGUCAGUACCCCGUCUAGUCAGGUCAGUACCCCGUCUAGUCAGGUCAGUACCCCGUCUAGUCAGGUCAGUACCCCGUCUAGUCAGGUCAGUACCCCGUCUAGUCAGGUCAGUACCCCGUCUAGUCAGGUCAGUACCCCGUCUAGUCAGGUCAGUACCCUGUCUAACCUGCCAGAAGUUUGAGAGGGCGAAGACUGUGGCGCCGGAGUUGAAGCACAUCAAAGCUGUUUCACCAUGGCACGUGAUCGGUGAGUGUCCCAAUUCAAAUUUUGCCCUGAUAAGUUGUUCUGUAAUGGUUGCUUUAUUUGAUCACAACAGUAUUAUAGAAUGUGUGUGUAUGUGUGUCCUUACAAAUAUGCACAUCUGCAUACUGUAUGAAACAGAUAUGGGUCAGAAUAAAGUCAUCUUCUCUCUAACACUUUAUAUGUUGGAGGUGGACCUCAUUGGACCCUUCACGAAAUCCAGGAAUGACAACAGCUGCUGUCUAACGGCGACCGAUCACUUUACCAAGAGGGUGGAGGCAAUACCCAUUAAGGACGAGACUGGCGAGGCCAACUCCAAGGCGAUGACGGACAUCUUCAACACCCAGACCGAGGUCAUGAACACUGGAACAGGUUACGGAUGUUAUAGAUUAUAUUCUGUCACCAAUUUUUUGUUUUGUUUAUUUUUUACAAUUUGUUUUUCCGUGGUACAUAAACAGACAUAUUUCAAUAUCUUCCAUUGUAGAUAGAUAUCCGUUUCCUCCAGGUUUGGUGAAUGGAUCAACCAGACCCACAAGACUGUCAUGGGCAAGUCCCUUGACUGGUACCAGGAAGGUUGGGAGAACUACUGGAUGGUCCCUUUGCACACAGCAGCAGCCUGCAGGCCUCCACCGAGUACGGACGGGAGUCGCAGCUGUUGACUGACGUAAAACAAUGCAAUUCUAUAUACAAUUAUUGCAUAUACUGUUGUUGUUUGUCUAUUGCUAUUUCUAUAUCAGGUACUUUCAGAUCACUGAAACCCCACCUGAUGUGGUGGCAGCUGUCGAACCAGAUCAGAACGCUCAAGGACUACAGUACCUUCAGGCACGGACCGAGGAGGAUGUGGAUGGUUUUGACCAGGGUUACCUCGGUGGAAGACAACAAUCUUCUACAGUCGGAGCACUUGGACGGUCGACCACUGAAAGCACUGACGCCCUACACUUCAGUGAAGCCCAAUAGACAAAGUAUGUUCAGCUUUGGUUGACAGAAACAAGAAGAAAAUAAAUAGUAGUUAUGCUAAACCUAUAGAAAUGUACUUCCCAAUAUCCUACUCUAUCCUACACUAUCAUUCUCUAUCCUACACUAUCAUUCUCUAUCCUACACUAUCAUUCUCUAUCCUACUCUAUCAUACUCUAUCAUACUGGGCACAUAAUAUGUGAGAUACACAGACUAACUAAAAACACUAGCACUUGCAGAACACUCAGAACAAAGAGAGCAUCAGCGCCUAGACUUUGCAGUCUCCCUCUUCAAGUCUCCCUUCCGAGACUGACUGUCUGUUGAGAACAGGUGACAGGCAGAACCUCCCACCCAUACAGCAACCCCUCCUCUAUAUUCCACACACCAGAAGUCACUAUUUUAGUCUAUGAUUGCCAUGUUAGUGUACAAAGAAAUCUGUGAAGAUAAAUGAAUGACACAACUCUACCAAAAACUAUCGAAGUUUAUGUAUUAAAAUCUUAAAUCUUGCCAGGUUGGUUUUCACGGCUGUUUCACAAGGUGUUCAUUAUUGUAAGUUGUAAGAUAUGCUUUGAUGUUAUUUAUUUGUUCCACAUUAUUCAUUGUUGUGUCCUAGGACCUACAAUAGAUACAUAUAUAUUCAACCACAAGGGUGUACUAAUGAGCUAUGUGAGAUAUAUUAUUUCAGCUCAGAUAAGGGAAGGGCAGGAUCAAAUUAAAACAUGACGGCCAGACAAGCCAGUGUAUGAACCAAAUGGAUUUGCAUAUGAAUGGAGUGGAAAUUAGCUGACUUCCUGGUCUGUAAGGUAAGUAAUUUUAAUGUGUCAAGCAGAUUACACAUUUUAUUUGACUUUUCCAAAACGUAGUAAUGUUUAAGACAUGGAUUUCAUGUUGUAAUGUUAACAAGGUACCCAAAAGUAGUUUGAAUUAAUGUUUUCAUUUUGUCAGCUAAAUUAAACUUGUUUAACUUCUCUUGGGUAGGGGGCAGCAUUCGGAAUUUUGGAUGAAAAGCAUGCCCAAAUUAAACUACCAGCUACUCAUCCCCAGAAGAUAAGAUAUGCAUAUUAUUAGUAGAUUUGGAUAGAAAACACUCUGAAGUUUCUAAAACUGUUUGAAUCAUGUCUGUGAGUAUAACAGAACUUAUUUAGCAGGCGAAACCCAGAGGACAAACCAUUCAGAAUUUUUUUUUUGAGGUCACUCUCUUUCCAAUGAGUUUUCAUUGGGAAACCAGAUUUCUAAAGGGACGUUCUUGUAGUUCCUACCGCUUCCACUGGAUGUCAACAGUCUUUAGAAAUUGGUUGAGGUUAUUCCUUUGUGUAAUGAAGAAGUACGGCCAACUUGAAGGAGGGUCACUCGAAGUGUCCUGUUUGUUAGAAGCGCGUGACCAGAAAGCUAGCUACAGUUGGUUUUAAUCCUGUAUUGAACACAGAUCAUCCCGUCUUCAAUUUUAUCGAUUAUUUACGUUAAAAAAUACCUAAAGUUGUAUUACAAAUGUAGUUUUAAUUUUUUUGGCAAAGUUUACAGGUAACCUUUGAGAUAUUUUGUAGUCACGUUUCACAAUUUGGAACCGGUGUUUUUCUGGAUCAAACGUGCCAAAUAAAUGGACAUUUUGGAUAUAUAUCGACGGAAUUAAUCGAACAAAAGGACCAUUUGUGAUGUUUAUGGGACAUAUUGGAGUGCCAACAACAGAAGCUCGUCAAAGGUAAGGCAUGAAUUAUAUUCUUAUUUCUGCGUUUUGUGUCGUGCCUGCAGGGUUGAAAUAUGCUUCUCUCACUUUGUUUACAAUGGUGCUAUCCUCAGAUAAUAGCAUCGUUUGCUUUCGCCGAAAAGCCUAUUUGAAUUCUGACAUGUUGGCUGGAUUCACAACCAGUGUAGCUUUAAUUUGGCAUCUUUCAUGUGUGAUUUAAUGAAAGUUAGAUUUUUAUAGUAAUUAAUUAGAAUUUGGUCGCUCUGCAUUUUCUCUGGCUUUAUGCCAAGUGAGACAGUAGCGUCCCGCCUAAACUCUGAUUUUUGGUUAUAAAUAUGAACUUUACCGAACAAAACAUACAUUUAUUGUGUAACAUGAAGGCCUAUGAGUGACAUCUGAUGAAAAUCAUCAAAGGUUAGUGAUUCAUUUUAUCUCUAUUUCUGCUUUUUGUUACUCCUCUCUUUGGCUGGAAAAAUGGCUGUCUUUUUCUGUGACUUGGCUCUAACCUAACAUAAUCGUUUGGUGUGCUUUUGUCGUAAAACCUUUUUGAAAUCGGACACUUUGGCUGGAUUUACAACAAGCGUAUCUUUAAAAUAGUGUAAAAUACUUGUAUGUUUGAGGAAUUUAAAUUAUGGGAUUUCUGUUGUUUUGAAUUUGGCGCCCUGCAGUUUCACUGGCUGUUGACGAAGUGGGACGCUACCGUCCCACAUACCCUUGUGAGGUUAAACAGUGAAAUUGCUGCGGAAAUCCGCCUUGUUUGCAUAGCGAUGAUGAAAAGAACGUAAUUUAGGCUGUAAUUAGGUAAUCCCACCGUUGAUAUAGCAACGGACGCUAAUAGUUUAUCGAAUUCCAUUGUGACGCAGAAGGGGACACUAUUUGGCCAGGGGACAUUAUUUGCCAUGACAUAUCCCCAAAAAGCUAGGC
This is a long non-coding RNA of Salvelinus fontinalis (brook trout), 4949 nucleotides long. RefSeq lists it as uncharacterized. The transcript has 3 exons. The record is from RefSeq and is a predicted model, not a curated record. NCBI's taxonomy places the organism in Eukaryota, Metazoa, Chordata, Actinopteri, Salmoniformes, Salmonidae.